Unclassified non-coding RNA from Chelonoidis abingdonii (Abingdon island giant tortoise), 178 nucleotides. The record is from Ensembl. NCBI's taxonomy places the organism in Eukaryota, Metazoa, Chordata, Testudines, Testudinidae.
UUGGCAGCCCUGGAUUAUGAAGUCUUCUCUUUUCCUACUGAACAGGUGCAGCAUGGGCAGAGGUACAGUACAAGUUUCCAUACAAAGUGGAAUUCCAAUGUCUGUCUAACCUGAAAGUAGAGCCCACCUUUAAACAUGAGAAGGUCUGUUUCCAUGACACUUAAGACAACCAGUUACA